RNAcentral lists this long non-coding RNA (256 nucleotides) under Mytilus galloprovincialis (Mediterranean mussel). The record is from RNAcentral. Lineage: Eukaryota; Metazoa; Mollusca; Bivalvia; Mytilida; Mytilidae.
CCCUUUUUGCCGCCAAGACCGAGAAGAAAUUUUCCUGUAUGGCUUUUAAUCAAGCCGACGAACAAAAUAAUGCGCAUGUUAAAGCAGAUGGUGGUGCUGUUAGAUUGACGGAAAAUCCGGGAGCGCUUCAUAGAUGGAUGGGUGCUGGGCCUGAAAUGGCUAGUUUGGUAAAUGAAUUUGAAAAUGUCACUGAAUGCUUUGUAUACACUAACGAAUCUAAUAAACCUCAUCAUGAAAAAAUAUUAUCCUUCCAAGA